RNAcentral lists this unclassified non-coding RNA (1178 nucleotides) under Dimorphilus gyrociliatus. RNAcentral describes it as "dgyrCDS11839". The record is from RNAcentral. Lineage: Eukaryota; Metazoa; Annelida; Polychaeta; Dinophilidae.
AGUUAUUCUCACUAGUUUAGCCAUUGAGCUUGAAUCGUUCAUUAUCUUUUAAAUCGUUUUUAACAUAAAAAAUAAGGUUGGUUAAUUAGAGCAGAAUGAAUGCCUUAAUAAAUUAACUUAUGUUAUAAAAUAAACUUUUUAAUUUAUUAUUAAAGUAGUCGUAUUGUUAAUUUAUGCAUAUAUAUUAAAAUUUAACAAGUUUUAUAUACUAUAUAUUUGAAAUAGGAGACUUUUUAAGAAAAAUAUUUUUUCUUAGUUAGGCCUAAAUAAUUGAAAAAAUAGGUCGCGCAUAACUCUUUACGAUUAUAAUUAGCCACGUCAUGGUUACGUUCUACGUAUUGGUCUUGGCUGCAACAAUUGCAACUGCAACACUAGGAAAUGAAGUAAUAAACCCAGUAAUUCCAGUUCCGAGGAGAAGACCUGGAGUAAUUCUUUCGGAAAAUACUCUGGCUAAAAAGGUAUUAGUUGAUUUUGAAGUGUUUUUGGAGUUGAAUUGUCCUGAUAGUAAAGUCACAUGGCCUGUAUUGAAGAGAGUUGCUCAAGAUUUUGCCCCGAAGGGGGUUAGAUUAACAGUUAAUCAAUUUGCUCUACCAUACCAUCAAUAUGGCUAUCUAUCAACUCUUGCCUACUAUUUUAUAAACAAUAACAAUGCCUCAUUAACUGUACCGUACGCUGAUGCCAUCUUCGAAAAUAUAAGGGAGUUUGGACUGCGUAGCUGGACUAAAACCCCAAUAGAAAUGACUAAACGUUUGUCAGAAAUUGCUGUUUCAGUUGGCUACGAACAAGGAUUUAACACAACAGACAUAUUGGCUUUCAGCGGUCCAGUAAGAACUACUUGGAAAUAUGCUACAAGACGUCUGUAUACAAUAAAACGCAUAAUAGAUUAUUGAAUAGCUAAUCAUUUGUUAUUCUUUGUUUAGGUGGCGUUUCUGGCACCCCAUGGUAUUUUAUUAAUAACGUUGAUCUCGGCAUAUCUUCGAGUGGAACUCUUUCCUACGAGACUUGGGCAGAUUAUUUGAAUGGCUUAUUAAUGGGGAAAAAAAUUUAGAAUAUAGCCAUUUAUUUUACUAUAAUUCCUUAAAAUGUUCUAUCUCUGUUAAAGUUCAUUUAAUAAAAAGAUUUUAUUAAAAAACUAUGCUAUUUAAACUUUGGUUUUAUUUCAUAAAAUAAAUCUAUGA